This 1115-nucleotide ribosomal RNA is filed under the name uncultured bacterium. Its description in RNAcentral is "bacterial SSU rRNA". It matches the Rfam family "Bacterial small subunit ribosomal RNA", at positions 140 to 1265 of the family's 1533-position model. The record is from RNAcentral.
GGGAUAACUUCAGGAAACUGGGGCUAAUACCGGAUAGGAGCUCCUGCUGCAUGGUGGGGGUUGGAAAGUUUCGGCGGUUGGGGAUGGACUCGCGGCUUAUCAGCUUGUUGGUGGGGUAGUGGCUUACCAAGGCUUUGACGGGUAGCCGGCCUGAGAGGGUGACCGGCCACAUUGGGACUGAGAUACGGCCCAGACUCCUACGGGAGGCAGCAGUGGGGAAUAUUGCACAAUGGGCGGAAGCCUGAUGCAGCAACGCCGCGUGCGGGAUGACGGCCUUCGGGUUGUAAACCGCUUUCGCCUGUGACGAAGCGUGAGUGACGGUAAUGGGUAAAGAAGCACCGGCUAACUACGUGCCAGCAGCCGCGGUGAUACGUAGGGUGCGAGCGUUGUCCGGAUUUAUUGGGCGUAAAGGGCUCGUAGGUGGUUGAUCGCGUCGGAAGUGUAAUCUUGGGGCUUAACCCUGAGCGUGCUUUCGAUACGGGUUGACUUGAGGAAGGUAGGGGAGAAUGGAAUUCCUGGUGGAGCGGUGGAAUGCGCAGAUAUCAGGAGGAACACCAGUGGCGAAGGCGGUUCUCUGGGCCUUUCCUGACGCUGAGGAGCGAAAGCGUGGGGAGCGAACAGGCUUAGAUACCCUGGUAGUCCACGCUGUAAACGGUGGGUACUAGGUGUGGGGUCCAUUCCACGGGUUCCGUGCCCGUAGCUAACGCUUUAAGUACCCCGCCUGGGGAGUACGGCCGCAAGGCUAAAACUCAAAGGAAUUGACGGGGCCCCGCACAAGCGGCGGAGCAUGCGGAUUAAUUUGAUGCAACGCGUAGAACCUUACCUGGGUUUGACAUGGAUCGGGAGUGCUCAGAGAUGGGUGUGCCUCUUUUGGGGUCGGUUCACAGGUGGUGCAUGGCUGUCGUCAGCUCGUGUCGUGAGAUGUUGGGUUAAGUCCCGCAACGAGCGCAACCCUUGUUCACUGUUGCCAGCACGUUAUGGUGGGGACUCAGUGGAGACCGCCGGGGUCAACUCGGAGGAAGGUGGGGAUGACGUCAGGUCAUCAUGCCCCUUAUGUCCAGGGCUUCACGCAUGCUACAAUGGCUGGUACAGAGAGUGGCGAGCCUGUGAGGGUG